RNAcentral lists this long non-coding RNA (1339 nucleotides) under Chrysemys picta bellii (western painted turtle). RNAcentral describes it as "lncRNA (ENSCPBG00000005643.1)". The record is from RNAcentral. Lineage: Eukaryota; Metazoa; Chordata; Testudines; Emydidae.
AUGUUGCUGGGUGGUUUACAGACAGGAACAAGGCAGGUACUUAAACUUUGCAUUUAUACCUUUCAUUACAAAAAAAAUAAUAAUGAGGGACAGCUGCAUUUCGUUAUACAUAGGCCAUCUUGUUAUCUUAAUUCCUUACUUGUUUUUGACUCUUGCCAACAUACAAUAUUUUCUAGACCUUAUCUACACAAGGUUUUCUACGCCUUAUCUAUACAAGGUCACAAUAACUUCUCACACAGUACUUUCUCACCCGCCUCACACAAUCCUCGCUUCUACAAAUCUCGCGUUAUCAGGGUUACAGUUAGCCUGACUCUUGCUAACAAACUGUCAUGCAUAGCAGUUCUUUUCUGACAGUUCUUUCUCUGCUUCCACGACCCCCCCCUUUUUUAUUUUAUAGAUGCGGUGUUUAAACAAAACACUCUCGCAGGGUAGCAUACACAAUGCCACUAGAUUGGGUAUACAUUAAACAAAGCAGCAAAGUAAAACAUCAAACAUCAAAACUAAGACCCCAUACUAUAAAAGGGUCUUCAUCCACUCUAAGGGUGGCUAUAACUAAAUAUAAUCCCACCAAGGAGGAAAAACGUCUUGGCGGAUGGCUUAAGCAUAACAUUUUAGCAUAUCAAUUUGCUAUUACAUACGGUUACUAUUAUCAGUAAGCUUAAAACAACACAUUUCUUUUACUGUCUCACACCCCAGAUGUUGCUGGGUGGUUUGCAGACAGGAACAAGGCAGGUACUUAACAGACCUUGCAUGUCUUGUAAUAUGGUGUCAUUAACUUGAAAAAGUAAGCGUCCUGUCAGGUGUAAUCCCAGGAGCACUGACUAAAAUUAACUGGGCAUACCAGGUAGUUUAAUUUCCCAGAUGUUUUGGUGAAUUACUCAAUCCCACAUGCAUCCUCCCCAUGGACCCGGCAGGAUUCAGUAUGUGGGAGGCCACACCCCCUUUACCGGUCCAUAUGCUUGGAAGGAGCAUUGAGAACAUCUACACUUCCACUCAGAAAGUCUCCAAGUAUGUCUCUAUGGCCACAGAUCAGAUGGUACUCCUGAUGAGUCUGUAAGGGCAGUGGGCCAAGCCUGAUGCUCUAGAUCCCACUGCAAUGCCUUCCCAGCCUCAGUGAUAUUCAAUACCAUCUCUGUCAGCAACUUCUGGGUCAUUGUCUGUAUUUUGAUGUGUUACUGGGGUAAUAGUGUAAUAGAGGAGAUGGCAGAGGCAAUGGCAACAAGGUGCCUUUGGUACUUAUCAUUUAAAAUCCAAUUAGGGAAGGCAAUACAUACUGAAGGACUUAUCCAAAACACAGGGCGCAGCCUGUAGAAUAAACCCCAAAAUCCAAUUAAUACCA